GUUUGCUUUGAUAUAUAAAUUUUAUAUUCAUUUUCGCUGGUCGAACAUGCGUAUUAUUACUACAUGGGCCCUACAAUUUUAAAAUACUCGUCACGUCACACAACUUGUGUAUGGUCCUUUUUUUUUUUUUUUGUGAAGGAAAUAUCUUUUUUAUAAUUAGUGUUUAUUUAUUUUUGCUUUUCUGAUUUGUUUCUACCAUGUCGUGUGUUGUUACUACAUCAGCCCUACAAUUUUUAAAGCAUUUUUUUUUCUCGUCCGUCCUUUUUGAGUCUGGGUCAGACUUCAGUUUUGAGUUGUGUUAUUUGAAC
Molecule: long non-coding RNA, 308 nt
Filed under: Medicago truncatula (barrel medic)
Lineage: Eukaryota; Viridiplantae; Streptophyta; Magnoliopsida; Fabales; Fabaceae
Description: lncRNA gene30259
Source: RNAcentral